RNAcentral lists this ribosomal RNA (396 nucleotides) under uncultured bacterium. RNAcentral's name for it is "partial 16S ribosomal RNA". It matches the Rfam family "Bacterial small subunit ribosomal RNA", at positions 523 to 918 of the family's 1533-position model. The record is from RNAcentral.
AUACGUAGGGGGCAAGCGUUAUCCGGAUUUACUGGGUGUAAAGGGAGCGUAGACGGUAAAGCAAGUCUGAAGUGAAAGCUCGGGGCUCAACCCCGGAACUGCUUUGGAAACUGUUUUACUGGAGUGCCGGAGAGGUAAGCGGAAUUCCUAGUGUAGCGGUGAAAUGCGUAGAUAUUAGGAGGAACACCAGAGGCGAAGGCGGCUUACUGGACUGUAACUGACGUUGAGGCUCGAAGGCGUGGGGAGCAAACAGGAUUAGAUACCCUGGUAGUCCACGCGGUAAACGAUGAUCACUAGGUGUCGGCGGCCAUAGGCGGUCGGUGCCGCAGCAAACGCAAUAAGUGAUCCACCUGGGGAGUACGUUCGCAAGAAUGAAACUCAAAUGAAUUGACGGGG